UUAGAGUUUGAUCCUGGCUCAGGAUGAACGCUAGCGACAGGCUUAACACAUGCAAGUCGAGGGGCAGCGGGGAGUGAGGCUUGCCUUACUCUGCCGGCGACCGGCGCACGGGUGAGUAACACGUAUGCAACCUACCCUUUACAGCGGGAUAACCGGAAGAAAUUUCGCCUAAUACCGCAUAUACUCCUUGGGAGGCAUCUUCCGAGGGGGAAAGAAUUUCGGUGAAGGAUGGGCAUGCGUCGCAUUAGUUAGUUGGCGGUGUAACGGACCACCAAGACGACGAUGCGUAGGGGUUCUGAGAGGAAGGUCCCCCACACUGGUACUGAGACACGGACCAGACUCCUACGGGAGGCAGCAGUGAGGAAUAUUGGUCAAUGGCCGAGAGGCUGAACCAGCCAAGUCGCGUGAGGGAAGAAUGUCCUAUGGAUUGUAAACCUCUUUUGUCAGGGAGCAAAGUCACCCACGUGUGGGUGUUGGAGAGUACCUGAAGAAAAAGCAUCGGCUAACUCCGUGCCAGCAGCCGCGGUAAUACGGAGGAUGCGAGCGUUAUCCGGAUUUAUUGGGUUUAAAGGGUGCGUAGGCGGGUUAUCAAGUCAGCGGUAAAAUCGUGGAGCUCAACUCCAUCCAGCCGUUGAAACUGAUGAUCUUGAGUGGGCGAGAAGUAUGCGGAAUGCGUGGUGUAGCGGUGAAAUGCAUAGAUAUCACGCAGAACUCCGAUUGCGAAGGCAGCAUACCGGCGCCCGACUGACGCUGAGGCUCGAAAGUGUGGGGAGCAAACAGGAUUAGAUACCCUGGUAGUCCACACCGUAAACGAUGAUUACUAGGUGUGGGGGGUCUGACCCCUUCCGUGCCGGAGUUAACACAAUAAGUAAUCCACCUGGGGAGUACGGCCGCAAGGUUGAAACUCAAAGGAAUUGACGGGGGCCCGCACAAGCAGUGGAGUAUGUGGUUUAAUUCGAAGCAACGCGAAGAACCUUACCAGGUCUUGACAUCGUGCGCAUAGCUCAGAGAUGAGUGAAGCCCUUCGGGGCGCAUAGACAGGUGGUGCAUGGUUGUCGUCAGCUCGUGUCGUGAGAUGCUCAGUUAAGUCUGGCAACGAGCGCAACCCUCGUGAUGUGUUACCAAUAUCGAGUUAGGGACUCACAUCAGACUGCCGGUGAGAAACCGGAGGAAGGCGGGGAUGACGUCAAAUCAUCAUGCCCCUUAUGGCCUGGGCUACACACGUACUACAAUGGCGGCGACAGAGGGCAGCGAGCCUGCGAAGGCAAGCGAAUCCCCAAAAAGCCGUCCCAGUUCGGAUUGGAGUCUGCAACCCGACUCCAUGAAGUUGGAAUCGCUAGUAAUCGCGGAUCAGCAUGCCGCGGUGAAUACGUUCUCGGGCCUUGCACACACCGCCCGUCAAG
RNAcentral lists this ribosomal RNA (1403 nucleotides) under uncultured bacterium. RNAcentral describes it as "partial 16S ribosomal RNA". It matches the Rfam family "Bacterial small subunit ribosomal RNA". The record is from RNAcentral.